This 282-nucleotide long non-coding RNA is filed under the name Lathyrus oleraceus (garden pea). Its description in RNAcentral is "Pisum sativum (pea) long non-coding RNA (PSAT_LNC033155)". Lineage: Eukaryota; Viridiplantae; Streptophyta; Magnoliopsida; Fabales; Fabaceae. The record is from RNAcentral.
UUAGGUAAAUCGAUUUCCCCUGCGCAGACACCAAAAAUAAGUCUUUUUUUUGCACAAAGGGUAUUUGGUUCCCCCACUUUCUCACUUGAUUUACCUAUAAAUAGAUGCAAUAUUCCCCCUCAUUUUUCAUGCUUUCUAGCCUCCAAAAAUUCUGAAAAAAUAUCAUCCAACCCCUCUUCUCCAAACCUAAAUCAAAACCAAAAAAAACCUUUCUCUCCCAAAAGUCACCACCACCAACUUUUUUCCAUUUUCAUAUUUUUUUCUCAAAAUUUCUCACUCUCU